RNAcentral lists this ribosomal RNA (253 nucleotides) under uncultured bacterium. Its description in RNAcentral is "partial 16S ribosomal RNA". It matches the Rfam family "Bacterial small subunit ribosomal RNA", at positions 524 to 776 of the family's 1533-position model. The record is from RNAcentral.
GACGUAGGGCGCGAGCGUUGUCCGGAUUUAUUGGGCGUAAAGAGCUCGUAGGCGGCUUGUCGCGUCGUCCGUGAAAACUUGGGGCUCAACCCCAAGCUUGCGGUCGAUACGGGCAGGCUCGAGUUCGGUAGGGGAGACUGGAAUUCCUGGUGUAGCGGUGAAAUGCGCAGACAUCAGGAGGAACACCGGUGGCGAAGGCGGGUCUCUGGGCCGAUACUGACGCUGAGGAGCGAAAGCGUGGGGAGCGAACAGG